This 312-nucleotide ribosomal RNA is filed under the name uncultured soil bacterium. RNAcentral describes it as "bacterial SSU rRNA". It matches the Rfam family "Bacterial small subunit ribosomal RNA", at positions 26 to 367 of the family's 1533-position model. The record is from RNAcentral.
AGAACGAACGCUGGCGGCAUGCCUAAUACAUGCAAGUCGAACGAACACUUCGGUGUUAGUGGCGCACGGGUGCGUAACGCGUGGGAAUCUGCCCUUGGGUUCGGAAUAACAGUUGGAAACGACUGCUAAUACCGGAUGAUGACGAAAGUCCAAAGAUUUAUCGCCCAGGGAUGAGCCCGCGUAGGAUUAGCUAGUUGGUGAGGUAAAGGCUCACCAAGGCGACGAUCCUUAGCUGGUCUGAGAGGAUGAUCAGCCACACUGGGACUGAGACACGGCCCAGACUCCUACGGGAGGCAGCAGGUAGGAUAGUGA